This is a long non-coding RNA of Rosa rugosa (rugosa rose), 1520 nucleotides long. RefSeq lists it as uncharacterized. The record is from RefSeq and is a predicted model, not a curated record. NCBI's taxonomy places the organism in Eukaryota, Viridiplantae, Streptophyta, Magnoliopsida, Rosales, Rosaceae. The transcript is spliced from 3 exons.
AAAGUUUGGAGUCUAUAAUAAAAUACGCGACGUUACGAGUCUGUGAGAAUUUUCAGGGAAUUUUUCCUACACCGGAACUAUUUAUUAUGAAUUUCUGAAGUUGGAAAAUCAUAGAAAUUCAUUUUAAGUAAAGAGAAAACCCACGGUGCAAUCUGAGGCGUCCAAAUUCUCACCGCCUCAUCGUAGCCGUUGAAAUUCAAUUAAGGGAGGCUAUAAAUAGGGCUGGAUCAGAUCAAACAUCCCAGAAUGAUCGAGAGGUCUCUGGGCUCUUCCACCCGGAUUCUCGACCCGGUAACCCGCAAAGGAGAUCCGACGGAAUCUCCCUCGUCCGGCGACUUCACAGCGGUGCACCGGUCAUGCCCGAUGUGUCUUCUUAUCGUGGUUCCUCCUCUGGUCACGGAUCAUCCAUGCAUGGAGCGAGGAGAGAGAAUCGAAGCCCAAAAGCUUCGGGUUUUCCGGCGAAGUUUUUGCAAUUUCCGGCGAUGCAUGAGAUAUGGAUUUUGGUCCUCUCAUCACGCUCUACGUCUUGCUGAGUUUAGUUUUGGAAUUGAUUGAGUUUUGAUCGACUGGCUCUUUUGGGUGUUAUCGGGUUCGAUGGAGCUACUGACGACGGUGGCUUUUCCGGUUUCCUGGGUUCAUCUGCGACGUCCUGGAGCCCGACUUGACACUUGGACGAAGCUUGGGUCACCGAGCAGAUCGAACUGAUGAAGUUGGAUUAUGAUCCGGUUCUGUCAAUUGAUUGUCAAAGGACUCCAGUUACCCGAGGAACGGAAGGUUCGCGACUCUCGGAGUACGUGAAGAAAAGCAUCGGAAUUCAGUGUGGAUGCAGGUACUGUGCACUGGUGACGGGAUUGACGGACGGAGCAGGGUGCGCGGAGAUAGUUUCGGUGAAUAGUAGUAACUGAAUUCAGGUUCUGUGUCUAGUCUUGAACUCUAUCACUUGAGAGUCGUUAAUUUGGAACUUGUUAUUCCUUAUUUCGUCCUGUAUCGGAGUGUACCAACUCUUAUUUACCCUAGUGGAGAUCUAGAAGCGCUUUAGACGAAUAAGUUCGAUAAAUGAUUCUAAAAAGUUUUCACCUCAAAAAGUAUUUCAACGUUUCUGCUACGCGAUUUACGAAAAGCGAUUUAACUAAAAUGCCUUGCGGGUUUUUAGGAUGUAAAUUGAACAUUCAGUUUAUGUCUUAGAGACAUGCGGCACUGUGACGUGCUCAAGCUGAUGAGGUGCAGUUUGGGGCGUUACAAGUUAGAUCUCCUCAUUAAUUGAAACAAAUUAUCCAGAUUUAGUGACUGUUGGUUUCAAAUUUCUAAAGCAACCAAUGGCUACAUUGCACAUGGCCUAAACAACUGUUUCUUUUUUGCGCUACGCGACAAAAGCAUGUUCCACACUCGUCAAAUGCUUUUGCGAAGUUACGCGACAAGAAUUUGCGCUUGACCCAAAACCUGUAGGAAUCACAAUAUACACUUCUAAUUCGGAAGAAUCAUCCCUAAAGAUAGACUACCCAAAACCUGUAGAAAUCACA